Theobroma cacao (cacao) is the source of this 760-nucleotide long non-coding RNA. RefSeq lists it as uncharacterized. NCBI's taxonomy places the organism in Eukaryota, Viridiplantae, Streptophyta, Magnoliopsida, Malvales, Malvaceae. The record is from RefSeq and is a predicted model, not a curated record.
AUCCUAACUAUAAAUUCAUGUGAGCUUGCCUAGCAAAAACAAUUGAACAUUCAUCUAAGCCUUAUCUCCUCCAGCACCUAAAUUCUAACAGAAUCGAUGUUGCUCUUACAACAAACCAAGCAAUUGGGUGAAGCAAUAGUCUAAGGAUGCCAAUUUGGAGCGGCUUCCCUCGUAAACUCUGGUUUAUUUCCUUUUGCUUGGUUGCUAUGAGAAACAGAAAAUAAUACAAAAUUAUUGUUUUACUGUUUCAAUCACAAAUCUUAAACAGUAAAAACCUUUAGAAACAAACUCAUCCAGUGAGAGUUUGAUCAAUUUUAUAUUGAAUUUUUCAGUUAUAUAAUCUGAUAAGCAAAUAUAGUAAUAUUUUUUUGUGAGGUAUAUAAUUAUUCACAUGUCCUUUCUGAAUACAAUUGCUGAUCAUGAAGAAAUGCCAAAACUUUUAGGUUCUAAUUAACCAGGGAUUAAUUUAACUUGUCUCUUGCGUUAUCAAUGCUAAUUGGGUACGAGUCAAGCCAUGAUCUCUUCCCUCUGCAUUAUGAGUUGUAAAGCAAUUCCAUCAACGUAUGGGAGCAUCCCAAGCUGCUGUCAAUCAAAAAGACAAGUACAAUUUCUCUCUCUGGAUUCUUUAAGAGGAUUAGAGGAAAGUCGUAAAAUUUUGUAUGGGCUCAUCUCUGCUGGCUCUGCAAUAUUCAACUAAAUUGUCAUGUGCCUGUGUUUCUGUGGACCCCAAAAUUAAAUGCAGGGAAACUUUUCUUACCAA